CCGAGGAAAUUCCGAGGAACACUUGGAUUUCCUCAGAAUUUCUUCAGAAUAUUUCGAGGCUUUUCCGAGGAAACAGAAACCCUAAAAGAAAAGCCCUAAAUCGUCGGAAAAGUCUCGGACUAUUCCGAGGAAAUUCCGAAAAAAUCCUUAAAUCCUAUUAUCCCUCAGAAUUUCCUCGGUAUUCUUAUAUUAAAAAAAAAAGGCAAUGCUACUCUGUUUCCGAGUCAUCAUCACCAGAUGAAUCUGAAUCUUGAUCUUGGUGAAACUUUCCAAUCUCUGGUUCAUCCUCUACGUGAACGACGGCUUCCUCUCCAAAGUGGGUUAAAUUGACUACAAGGCCAACUGCAGAUAAAUCUUCUGCUGCACUUAAGUUACCGGAUGUGCUUGGUUGUAGUUGGUCUUCCAGCUCAGAACUUCCCUGAACUCGGCCUCUUGGGUUG
RNAcentral lists this long non-coding RNA (440 nucleotides) under Brassica napus (rape). Its description in RNAcentral is "long non-coding RNA (BNAP_LNC018188)". Lineage: Eukaryota; Viridiplantae; Streptophyta; Magnoliopsida; Brassicales; Brassicaceae. The record is from RNAcentral.